UCUGUGCGUUGAUGGCUCGAAG
RNAcentral lists this unclassified non-coding RNA (22 nucleotides) under Mus musculus (house mouse). RNAcentral's name for it is "oocyte_clustered_small_RNA4182". Lineage: Eukaryota; Metazoa; Chordata; Mammalia; Rodentia; Muridae. The record is from RNAcentral.